GCCCUUGGUGGGCGAUAAGGCUUAACGGAAAACAACAGCAGAGCGCUCUCCCGCUUUCCCACCCCACUCGCCAUGGCCGAAACCUUCGCGGGCCUCCGCAUCGUCGCCUCCGCGGUCCCUCAGCCUCAAACCCUCCGCAGCCGCCUUCUCCGCGCCGCGCUCCGCGGAAGCCCGUUACGGGGCGGCCGGCUGCGCGCCCGGGCCGCGGUCGCGGGGCCGCCGGAGGUGGACGACGACGAUGCGAUGAGCUUCGACAGCCUGCACCGCUUCUUCGACCUCAACAUUGGGAGAUGGAACGGAUCCUUCUACCAAUUCGACGCGCAUGGGAGGGUGCUGCAGGACAUUAGCACGCGGUUGUCCGUGAGCACGUACGGGGAGGACGACCUCAUCAGCCUCCUGCAAUCGCUGUAUAUCAAGCAGGCUUCCUCUCAGAUAUCAGUUGUAGAUGAGGAUGAUUCUGAACCGGAGUGGGUAGAGUACAAAAUCAAAGAGACAAACAUGUUCACUGUGGACAAGUAUCAGCAGAUAGGGUUCUUUCCUGAAGCGAAGGCAUUUGCUCUGAGGUACCAGACUGCAGGAAUGCUGGAGACUGUCCUUAGGGUUGGAGUGCUCGGGGAAGAUGAUGCUGGUGAAGAAUCCCCCAAAAACUUGAAGAUACCUUCUCGUAAGCCAUCUAUUGUAUGUGAGAAUUGUCUUUACUCCCUUGAAGGCAACGGUCGAGUGAGGGCUUUCCACAUAAUGGACCCGAAGGGAGUGCUCGACACACUUCUUGUUUUCCAUGAAAAGCAGGGAGUGCCACAGGCACUUGUCGACUCUUCAGUUGAUCCUAAGAGUGCCAGCAGUGAUAGGAUAAAUGCACUACUCGGAAGAUGGGAGGGGCGUUCUGUGACCAAGAGGAGUGGGGUGUAUGGAGCAACCCUCGCUGAGGCAGAUACAGUUGUUGUCCUCGAAAUGGACAGCAAUGGCCAGCUGAUUCAGGACACUAUAUCAACAAAAUCUGGAACUAGCACGACAAUAACUGUCAAAUGGACAGGAUCAGCAAACAACAACUUGCUUCAGUUUGACAGAGGAUACGAAAUGACACUGCUACCUGGUGGAAUGUACAUGGGAUAUCCAUCAGACAUCAGCAAAUGUGUCGCCCAGUUAGACUCUUUCCAUCUGGAGUUCUGUUGGAUGGAAUCGCCAGGAAAGAGGCAGCGGCUUGUGCGCACUUACGACUCUGCUGGUCUCGCUGUUUCAUCAACCUACUUUCUGGAGAGCAAAGUAUGAACCACAUCUUCCACACGGACCACACCCAAACCGAAUAGCAACGGUUUUGUCCUGCUGCUGAAGAGAAGACCGACGACCAGGACUACCAGGAGUCUCAGGAGUUCUACGAGGAGCACUCAGUUUGGCAAGAUGCAGGAUCCGAUCCGGAGUUCGACACCAACAACGACGGAUGGUACGAUUGAAGAUUAGAAGCCCGUGCUACGCUCAAGUGCUGCCUGUGGAGAUGAAGUUUGAGAUGAAGGAUGGCCUGAAGACCAGUUACCGCUACCGUUUUCCGUUUGUUCCAAUUUAGCCCAUGGGGCUUGUAAUAAAUUCGUACUGCAAAAUCCUCUGGAUAUUGUAAUAAUUAAAUUUAUAUUUGAACC
This is an RNA transcript of Panicum virgatum (switchgrass), 1634 nucleotides long. RefSeq lists it as uncharacterized. The transcript is spliced from 9 exons. The record is from RefSeq and is a predicted model, not a curated record. Lineage: Eukaryota; Viridiplantae; Streptophyta; Magnoliopsida; Poales; Poaceae.